RNAcentral lists this ribosomal RNA (452 nucleotides) under uncultured Sphingosinicella sp. Its description in RNAcentral is "bacterial SSU rRNA". It matches the Rfam family "Bacterial small subunit ribosomal RNA", at positions 9 to 507 of the family's 1533-position model. Lineage: Bacteria; Pseudomonadati; Pseudomonadota; Alphaproteobacteria; Sphingomonadales; Sphingosinicellaceae. The record is from RNAcentral.
GUAGUUGAUCCUGGCUCAGAACGAACGCUGGCGGCAUGCCUAACACAUGCAAGUCGAACGAAGCCUUCGGGCUUAGUGGCGCACGGGUGCGUAACACGUGGGAAUCUGCCCUUAGGUACGGAAUAACAGUUAGAAAUGACUGCUAAUACCGUAUGAUGCCGCAAGGCCAAAGAUUUAUCGCCUAGGGAUGAGCCCGCGUCGGAUUAGCUAGUUGGUGGGGUAAAGGCCUACCAAGGCGACGAUCCGUAGCUGGUCUGAGAGGAUGAUCAGCCACACUGGGACUGAGACACGGCCCAGACUCCUACGGGAGGCAGCAGUGGGGAAUAUUGGACAAUGGGCGAAAGCCUGAUCCAGCAAUGCCGCGUGAGUGAAGAAGGCCUUAGGGUUGUAAAGCUCUUUUACCCGGGAUGAUAAUGACAGUACCGGGAGAAUAAGCCCCGGCUAACUCCGUG